ACGGAAGGCAGCAGCUAAGAAUAUUCCGCAAUGGACGAAAGUCUGACGGAGCGACGCCGCGUGGAUGAUGAAGGUCGGAAGAUUGUAAAAUCCUUUUAUAACUGAGGAAUAAGUACUUUGAGAGAAACGGAGUAUGGUGACUGUAGGUUAUGAAUAAGCAACGGCUAACUACGUGCCAGCAGCCGCGGUAAUACGUAGGUUGCAAGCGUUGUCCGGAUUUACUGGGUGUAAAGGGCGUGUAGGCGGAGCUGCAAGUCAGAUGUGAAAUCCCGGGGCUCAACCCCGGAACUGCAUUUGAAACUGUAGCCCUUGAGUAUCGGAGAGGCAAGCGGAAUUCCUAGUGUAGCGGUGAAAUGCGUAGAUAUUAGGAGGAACACCAGUGGCGAAGGCGGCUUGCUGGACGACAACUGACGCUGAGGCGCGAAAGCGUGGGGAGCAAACAGGAUUAGAUACCCUGGUA
The sequence is a ribosomal RNA, 460 nucleotides long. It matches the Rfam family "Bacterial small subunit ribosomal RNA", at positions 341 to 792 of the family's 1533-position model.